RNAcentral lists this long non-coding RNA (433 nucleotides) under Pogona vitticeps (central bearded dragon). RNAcentral describes it as "lncRNA (ENSPVIG00000003953.1)". The record is from RNAcentral. Lineage: Eukaryota; Metazoa; Chordata; Lepidosauria; Squamata; Agamidae.
AUGAGUGCAGUUCUGAAAUUGUUAUUGUUAUUAUUGUUAAGUGUGUGCCUUGAGUCAUCAUUAUUGUUAAACAUUCUUAAAAGACAUUUAUUUCUCAGAAUCAGAAUAAAAGUUUUCAAUAAAAUAAAUGUUUUCUUACCAGCUAUUCCAUUGAGCACAUUGGGUCCUCCUGAACCUCCCACCAUGACUACAACACCAGAACCUACAACAAAUGGAGAAAGAAGAGAAUGUGGCGGAAAGCUCACGCUUCCCAAUGGACAUAUCUCUGGACCAAAUUAUUUUGGGAGCAAUACCAUGGUAGAGUGUAUCUGGAAAAUUGAAGUGAGUCCCUUGAAUUACAUAGUUCUUCGGAUUUCUUACAUUAGUCUUGACUGCAGCAAAGAAUAUAUUCAGAUUUUUGAUGGAAGCCUGGAUUCCCCUUUUGUGCUUGGAA